Long non-coding RNA from Oncorhynchus gorbuscha (pink salmon), 994 nucleotides. RefSeq lists it as uncharacterized. The record is from RefSeq and is a predicted model, not a curated record. Lineage: Eukaryota; Metazoa; Chordata; Actinopteri; Salmoniformes; Salmonidae. The transcript is spliced from 7 exons.
AGUAUGAAAAGGAAGUCUUGAAAAUCUUUCGAUCAACAGGCUCAUGAUCUCAACCUUUGUUUAACCGGAGAAAAGGAACCUGAACAACAUUUGGAAAGAUAAUAAUCAUGUUUAACUGAGUCCGUGUGAACUGAAAGGGCAUCUAUGCAAUAACUAGUGGAGUUUUAUUCAAGGGCACUAUUCUACGGACCCUACCCAGUGUGUGGACAAUGCAGUGGCCUAUUCAUAUGUAGUAGUUUAUGAAACUGACACCUACCAUUACUCACGAGAUGCACUGUGUAAGGAUGACCCAUUUGGUUUCAAUGGGGUGGUGGUGACAGAAGAGGUGUCUUUUCCAAUACGGAGAUGUACUCCAUUUCUAAGCCAUAACAGGCCAAACAACCCUGCAGAAGCAGACAGAGGUCUGUCUGGAAAUAAUGGAGAAAUGCUAGAUCUGGUGGCAGUAAAUGAACAAUCUUUUCCAAACUUCACUCCAAGACGAUCUGACCAUGUGCAUAUAACUCAUAUAUAUCCUAGUGUGAACAACUACCUCACUCAAGAAAUAGUGGAUCUGGUGGCCGUAGAAGAACAAUCCUUUCCAAACUUCACUCCAAGACCUUCUCAUCAUGUGCAUCUACCUCAUAUACAUCCUACUGUGAACAACCAUCUCACUCAACGUCAAGGGCAUGGCUCACUACAACAAGAUAUGGAGCCCUCAGGACUGAUCGAGCGUUGGUAUCAAGAAUCGAACACGGUGGACGAUGACAAACAGGAUUGGGAGGAAUACUGAGCUAAAGUGGCAUGAUGUUGUCUGAGCAUCAGCAUAACGUAACAUCACAGACAGCAAAAUCAGCAAAGGGGGUCAAUAAGUUAAACAUUUGACCUUAGCAAACACAUACUGUAACCUUCCUGUUUGCUUUGCUUCCAGCUCCUGUGUUGUAUUGUACAGUUUGUAACGUUCCUGUAAAUCAUUAUUAAUCAACUAUUGUAAGUUAAUAAAAAACAAAAAUGUGAA